This 370-nucleotide ribosomal RNA is filed under the name Cerambyx cerdo. Its description in RNAcentral is "partial small subunit ribosomal RNA". The record is from RNAcentral. Lineage: Eukaryota; Metazoa; Arthropoda; Insecta; Coleoptera; Cerambycidae.
CCCUAUUAUUUUGAACGUGAAUGUAUUUCUUGAUUAGUAGUAGUUAUGCUCUUGAAAAUUAAAAAUUUUGGCGGUAUUUUAGUCUGUUCAGAGGAACCUGUCCUGUAGUCGAUGAUCCACGAGUUAACGUACCUUUUCUUUUAGUUUGUAUAUCGUCGUAGCUUGAAAAUUUUAUAAGAAUAAUAAUUUUCAUGAUUUUGUUAGAAAGGAUAUCAGAUCAAGGUGUAGCUUAUGAAGAGGGAAGUGAUGGGUUACAAUAAAUUUAUUUUGGGAUUUUAUUUUUUGAAAAUAGAUGAAUUUGGAUUUGAUAGUAAUUUUAAUUAGAUUAUUAAUAUGAUUUUAGCUCUAAAAUAUGCACAUAUCGCCCGUC